This 719-nucleotide long non-coding RNA is filed under the name Androctonus crassicauda. The record is from RNAcentral. Lineage: Eukaryota; Metazoa; Arthropoda; Arachnida; Scorpiones; Buthidae.
AGUUGAUAGAGUUCUGUAGUGCCAAAAAGUUUCAGAAACAUAAAUCUAGACCAUUUAUAUUUCCCGAAUUUAUAUUAUUAUAUUUCCCAAAAUAUUGUUUCUCACAUAUUCAAAUUCACAACUCAUUUGAGAAUGUUUCACUUAUACAGAGCCCAUCUAAUGUUUAUUUUAACAUCUCAUUUACAAGUUCUGUUCAUUUUUUUUCAUUUGUGGGAUCUAUGAUCGUUGGUCCAAUUCGAGAUAUCGUGAUUAAGUGUGCACAGGAUCCAGGUUAGUAAAGGAGUCUAUACGUGGAACAGUUACAAUGCCUAGUCAUAUACAAAUUCAGGUUUAUUUGAGAGAGGAAAACAAAAUGUAAUUGAUAUAUUGAAUACAUGAAUAAAAAUGAACAAAUCAAAGAAACAAUUUAUAUGAUAAAUGAAUGAAAUUAACUAUACCUAUCAAUUUUAUCAAUCACAAACGGGUUGAAAUAUUGCUCUUUAGACACUCAGUAUACCUGGCAGAGUCGGAUGUCUCAGAGAUAGAAUGUCCAGGUUUUAGAAAUGGAAUGUCCAGGUUCCUGCUUUAUGAUGGACUUCUGUUCCUCUUGAAUCCACUGUCUUAUCUGAUUUUUCUUCUCCUCCUGUUUUCCAUCUUGCAUCUACAAGAUAAGAUUCAUUUCCUUCCUAUCUCUCUGAUGUUAUCAGAUGUUUAUUUAACUUCCUUUUUCACAGUCCAAC